UACGGAGGAUGCGAGCGUUAUCCGGAUUUAUUGGGUUUAAAGGGAGCGUAGGCGGGAGGUCAAGUCAGCUGUGAAAUGUAUCUGCUUAACGGGUACACUGCAGUUGAAACUGGUUUUCUUGAGUGCGUAAGAGGCAGGCGGAAUUCGUUGUGUAGCGGUGAAAUGCUUAGAUAUCACGAGGAACUCCGAUUGCGCAGGCAGCUUACUAAACUACUACUGACGCUCAGGCACGAAGGCGUGGGGAUCAAACAGGAUUAGAUACCCCGGUA
RNAcentral lists this ribosomal RNA (269 nucleotides) under uncultured prokaryote. RNAcentral's name for it is "partial 16S ribosomal RNA". It matches the Rfam family "Bacterial small subunit ribosomal RNA", at positions 524 to 792 of the family's 1533-position model. The record is from RNAcentral.